UGCUCACUUCAGCAGCACAUUAAAAUUGGAAUGAUACAGAGGAGAUUAGCAUGGCCCCUGUGCAAGAACAACAUGCAAAUUCAUGAAGCAUUCUAUAUUGUU
Molecule: small nuclear RNA, 102 nt
Organism: Zalophus californianus (California sea lion)
Lineage: Eukaryota; Metazoa; Chordata; Mammalia; Carnivora; Otariidae
Source: Ensembl